RNAcentral lists this ribosomal RNA (441 nucleotides) under uncultured bacterium. RNAcentral's name for it is "partial 16S ribosomal RNA". It matches the Rfam family "Bacterial small subunit ribosomal RNA", at positions 338 to 795 of the family's 1533-position model. The record is from RNAcentral.
CCUACGGGUGGCAGCAGUGGGGAAUAUUGCACAAUGGGCGAAAGCCUGAUGCAGCAACGCCGCGUGAAGGAAGACGGUUCUCGGAUUGUAAACCUCUGUUUUUAGUGAAGAAUAAUGACGGUAACUAAGGAGCAAGCCACGGCUAACUACGUGCCAGCAGCCGCGGUAAUACGUAGGUGGCAAGCGUUGUCCGGAAUUACUGGGGGUAAAUGGAGCGUAGGCGGGUAGCCAAGUCAGCUGUGAAAACUACGGGCUUAAACUGGAGACUGCAGUUGAAACUGGCUUUCUUGAGUGAAGUAGAGGUUGGCGGAAUUCCGGGUGUAGCGGUGAAAUGCAUAGAUAUUCGGAAGAACACCGAUGGCGAAGGCAGCCAGCUGGGCUUUAACUGACGCUGAGGCUCGAAAGUGUGGGGAGCAAACAGGAUUAGAUACCCCGGUAGUC